UGUCAAUUAAAUGACACAAGAAUGUUAAAUAUUCAAGCAAGAACCUCGGCAUCACCAUCUUGUUCCUUCUUCCAUGCCCAGCGGAGAAACUGCCAGAAAUUAAUAGCAGUGAUACUGGGGUUCUUGUUCGUGGAGUCGAAGGAUGAACUUUGCAAACACUCAAGGUGAUAUUAGUUGAGAGUAUCAAGUCUGGAGAACUGCAUCUCACGUAAUGACAGCCAGUCUGGAGCUUUAACAUCUCAGGAACCAAAUGAAAUAAAAAUGGUGAAACUAUACAGCAACGUUGGUUCCCUAGCCUACUCACAGUGUCGCCAAACACGUAUAAAGGUGCAAACGCUGACGUUAACCGUGCGCCUCUACAACAAACU
Manis javanica (Malayan pangolin) is the source of this 368-nucleotide long non-coding RNA. RefSeq lists it as uncharacterized. The record is from RefSeq and is a predicted model, not a curated record. Lineage: Eukaryota; Metazoa; Chordata; Mammalia; Pholidota; Manidae.